CUCAGGACGAACGCUGGCGGCGUGCCUAAUACAUGCAAGUCGAACGCUUCUUUCCUCCCGAGUGCUUGCACUCAAUUGGAAAGAGGAGUGGCGGACGGGUGAGUAACACGUGGGUAACCUACCCAUCAGAGGGGGAUAACACUUGGAAACAGGUGCUAAUACCGCAUAACAGUUUAUGCCGCAUGGCAUAAGAGUGAAAGGCGCUUUCGGGUGUCGCUGAUGGAUGGACCCGCGGUGCAUUAGCUAGUUGGUGAGGUAACGGCUCACCAAGGCCACGAUGCAUAGCCGACCUGAGAGGGUGAUCGGCCACACUGGGACUGAGACACGGCCCAGACUCCUACGGGAGGCAGCAGUAGGGAAUCUUCGGCAAUGGACGAAAGUCUGACCGAGCAACGCCGCGUGAGUGAAGAAGGUUUUCGGAUCGUAAAACUCUGUUGUUAGAGAAGAACAAGGACGUUAGUAACUGAACGUCCCCUGACGGUAUCUAACCAGAAAGCCACGGCUAACUACGUGCCAGCAGCCGCGGUAAUACGUAGGUGGCAAGCGUUGUCCGGAUUUAUUGGGCGUAAAGCGAGCGCAGGCGGUUUCUUAAGUCUGAUGUGAAAGCCCCCGGCUCAACCGGGGAGGGUCAUUGGAAACUGGGAGACUUGAGUGCAGAAGAGGAGAGUGGAAUUCCAUGUGUAGCGGUGAAAUGCGUAGAUAUAUGGAGGAACACCAGUGGCGAAGGCGGCUCUCUGGUCUGUAACUGACGCUGAGGCUCGAAAGCG
RNAcentral lists this ribosomal RNA (767 nucleotides) under Enterococcus faecalis. Its description in RNAcentral is "bacterial SSU rRNA". It matches the Rfam family "Bacterial small subunit ribosomal RNA", at positions 23 to 761 of the family's 1533-position model. The record is from RNAcentral. Lineage: Bacteria; Bacillati; Bacillota; Bacilli; Lactobacillales; Enterococcaceae.